Molecule: ribosomal RNA, 164 nt
Filed under: uncultured bacterium
Lineage: Bacteria
Description: partial 16S rRNA
Rfam family: Bacterial small subunit ribosomal RNA
Source: RNAcentral
UAGGGAAUCUUCCACAAUGGACGCAAGUCUGAUGGAGCAACGCCGCGUGAGUGAAGAAGGUCUUCGGAUCGUAAAACUCUGUUGUUAAAGAAGAACACGUAUGAGAGUAACUGUUCAUACGUUGACGGUAUUUAACCAGAAAGUCACGGCUAACUACGUGGCAG